UGAUCGCGAUUCACGCCCACUUUUACACGACUGACUGACGUCCCAGUGUGUUUACAAUUAUCUCAAUGUUCGGGGACUUGUAGGACAAUAUAGGAACCGCAGUCUCUGAACGGAGCAUCCAAAGGUUACUGGCUUCUUAAAUCGUCGGACAAUUGCAAAAAUGCCGGUGGAAUUCAGUGGAUGGGAGGCAUAUUGUGAUAAAUCAAAGCACCUUAAGCCAGGUCAAGAACCCAAAAAGAAUCAUGGCUACAUUAUGUACCACGGGACUCUCAAAAGCAAUGCCCCAGCCAUCAUAUCAACAGGAUUUCGUCCCUCUUCUGGGGGAACUCUGGGCCCCGGAGUCUACUGUAGUAGAGACAUUAACAAAGCAAUGGGUUACCCAGCAUGUGCUCCCAAUGACCGAGUCGUGUUAAAGCUGCGAGUGAGAGUUGGUAAAGUGAAGAGGAUUGACAGCCAAAGUCUUAACAUGUGGACAUCAUGGCAUCAGAACGGAUAUGAUACGGCCUGGUUACCUGCCACUGGCUCUUUUGUGGCACUUGAGGAGGAUUGUGUUUGGGACCCAAACAGAAUUACUGUGACUGGAAUAGCCCAUUGCACAGACCCCAGUACUAAGGCUUCCCUGGAGAGUCUCAUAAAGCAGAAAAGCCAAUCCCAAGACCCGAAUGGGAAAGGCAUGAAGCUGUGUAAGGGCUGUGGGAUGCAAACACAGGAUAAGCACAAGAUGGAGAAAUGCUGGUCCUGUAGGGCAUCCAUUUGCCCCUUCAUGAAAA
Non-coding RNA from Danio rerio (zebrafish), 770 nucleotides. Lineage: Eukaryota; Metazoa; Chordata; Actinopteri; Cypriniformes; Danionidae. The record is from Ensembl.